UUCACAAUAUCUGAAUACAAGCAAAGUUUGUGAGAAAUGAGGUAUUGAUGUAUUUCGGGUUUCAAACCUCUUAGAAACAUUCGCGUCAUACGCUCCUUAUUAUCUACCAAAUGGGAUACAAACCGGGAUAACUCAACAAACUUAGCCUCGUACUGCGAUACGGUCAUAUUAAUUUUCUCCAACUUGAUGAAUUCUACAUCCUUCAUGUGACGAAUACUUUCAGAAAAGUACUUGUCGUUGAAAAAUUCUUAGAACUUUUCUCAAGACAUCUUUAGUGCGGAAGACUGAGUACGUUUUAC
This 299-nucleotide long non-coding RNA is filed under the name Panax ginseng (ginseng). RNAcentral's name for it is "long non-coding RNA (PGIN_LNC018521)". Lineage: Eukaryota; Viridiplantae; Streptophyta; Magnoliopsida; Apiales; Araliaceae. The record is from RNAcentral.